AGCUGUACCAGAUGCUACAUUUUAGAGAUUGUGUGAAAUGUUGCAUCUAGUGCACUAGU
This is a microRNA precursor of Monodelphis domestica (gray short-tailed opossum), 59 nucleotides long. Lineage: Eukaryota; Metazoa; Chordata; Mammalia; Didelphimorphia; Didelphidae. The record is from Ensembl.